UACGUAGGGUGCAAGCGUUAAUCGGAAUUACUGGGCGUAAAGUGUGCGCAGGUGGCCGCGCAAGUCGAGUGUGAAAUCCCCGAGCUUAACUUGGGAAUUGCGCUCGAAACUACGUGGCUCGAGUGUGGCAGAGGAAGGUGGAAUUCCACGUGUAGCGGUGAAAUGCGUAGAGAUGUGGAGGAACACCGAUGGCGAAGGCAGCCUUCUGGGCCAACACUGACGCUCAUGCACGAAAGCGUGGGGAGCAAACAGG
RNAcentral lists this ribosomal RNA (253 nucleotides) under uncultured bacterium. Its description in RNAcentral is "partial 16S ribosomal RNA". It matches the Rfam family "Bacterial small subunit ribosomal RNA", at positions 524 to 776 of the family's 1533-position model. The record is from RNAcentral.